GGAGAGGUGGCAGAGCGGCCGAUUGUGCAGCACUGGAAAUGCUGUGUUCGGGAAACCGGACCGGGGGUUCGAAUCCCCCCCUCUCCG
This 87-nucleotide transfer RNA is filed under the name Planctomycetota bacterium. Its description in RNAcentral is "Planctomycetes bacterium tRNA-Ser". It matches the Rfam family "tRNA". From Rfam's summary of the family: Transfer RNA (tRNA) molecules are approximately 80 nucleotides in length. Their secondary structure includes four short double-helical elements and three loops (D, anti-codon, and T loops). Further hydrogen bonds mediate the characteristic L-shaped molecular structure. tRNAs have two regions of fundamental functional importance: the anti-codon, which is responsible for specific mRNA codon recognition, and the 3' end, to which the tRNAs corresponding amino acid is attached (by aminoacyl-tRNA synthetases). tRNAs cope with the degeneracy of the genetic code in two manners: having more than one tRNA (with a specific anti-codon) for a particular amino acid; and 'wobble' base-pairing, i.e. permitting non-standard base-pairing at the 3rd anti-codon position. Lineage: Bacteria; Pseudomonadati; Planctomycetota. The record is from RNAcentral.